Molecule: long non-coding RNA, 1452 nt
Filed under: Chelonoidis abingdonii (Abingdon island giant tortoise)
Lineage: Eukaryota; Metazoa; Chordata; Testudines; Testudinidae
Description: lncRNA (ENSCABG00000000004.1)
Source: RNAcentral
AUGGGCAUCCCGCAGAUCAGCCAGGAGAUAGGGCUACUGAGCCCCUGGCCGGGGGCUGCCCCCACCCUCCGUCCGUGGGAAUUGUUCUGGGCUUUCCUGUUGACAAGCACUGGGGCCUGUGUCUGUCGGGAGCUGUAUCCUGGCCCGACCCCUCUGGGCCCCACGCCAGCACUGGAAGCAAGACCUCAGCAACCAUGCACUGGCCGGGCUCCACUGCCAGCCUUGCUGUCCCCAUGGGGCAAGGGUCAGAGCCCCCCGCCACCCCUGACCUGCUGGGGAAAGUCCUGCCUGGGGGAGGGGGCUUGGGUGGGUGCUGGGCUCACAUCUUUCCUGGGAGGGGCUGUUGGGUCACCUGCCCUGCAGCCUGCCUCUCCCCGACCACUCGGCUCUGCCCCCCCGCCCCCAGGAGAGCUCCAGCCCAUGCAGGAUGAGGGGCCCAACAGGGAGCAGCCCCCCACCGAGCCAGCCCCAGAGGGUGCAGUGUCCAACGGCGGCCUCCCUGGGGAGCCCCUGGACCCGGAGCAUGCACUGGGGGCCCAGCUGCGGCGUAUGGGCGACGCCUUCCACCAGGCCCACGAGAGGCAGUGGCAGGAGCGACAGGGAGCGCUCUGGGCCCGUUUCUGCCACUACCUCUCUCAGCUGCUGGGUGCCUUCUACAACAUGCCCCUGGAUGUGAUGCCUGAGCUGCAGCCGAACUAGCCCCUUGCAGGUCGGAGCCGGGGGGGAGGGGAGGGACCAGCCCCCCCAGCGUGGACUGCAGAGCCUCUUGGCAAAAUGUAGCAACUUCCAGAGCUCAUACCACCCUCGCCCCCCGGGCGAGCCAUGGCUCCUGCGGGCUGGGCCCCAGGCUGCUGCCCGACUAUAGGCACCCACUGUCUAUUUAUUUAUUUAUUUUCGAGUACUGACUGGGACCCCCGCACUGCAGGGCCCCAUGGCGGGGAGCAGCCUCCCCCCACUGUUCCUCAGGGAGCCCCACGCAGUUGUGGCGGGGGGCAGACACGCAUGUGACAGCCCCAGGCAUUGCCUCUGCCUCACCCCCGACUCCCCUCGGGACAGCGGGAAGAGCUGGACUCCGGCAGCAGCAGGGAGGGCGAACUCUGAAGUGGGCUCAGCCAGCCGUCCUGCUGCUUCCUCGCCAUGCCGCUGGGCAGCCUGAGGGGGGGGGACCCUGCCUGCCCCGUUGCCUCCCCACGCACAACUUGCUGCUGCGGCUCGGGGCAUGGCCAGCCCUGAGCCCAGCACUGCGCCCAGAUCAGGGCAGGGGGGGCCUAGCAGGGGCGGCUGGAGCACUGUACAUACUGUACAUAGUGACACUGUACAGACACUGGGCCACGCUGUACAUAGGGGGACAUUGUACAUACGGGGACACGCUUGCUGUACAUGAGCAGUGACUUUGGUUUUCUACGUUUCCUUUUCAAUAAAACUGGAUUUAAGCAAAGAGGCGUCUGCGUC